RNAcentral lists this long non-coding RNA (1212 nucleotides) under Mus musculus (house mouse). RNAcentral's name for it is "long non-coding RNA chr17:29283955-29285167". Lineage: Eukaryota; Metazoa; Chordata; Mammalia; Rodentia; Muridae. The record is from RNAcentral.
GCUGGUGCACACUGAACCAUCCUGCCAGACAUCCUGCCCAGACCCUGUGCUUUGUUUUGUUGUUGUUGUUGCCUUUGUCCUAUUAACCUCCUUUGGCCACAUUCUUGUAUAACUUUAUUCUGAAGCCGUUAGAAUCCAGGGUAAGUUUUUUAGAAAAUGUUUCCAGAGAAAACUUGACUAGUUUAAGCUAACUUUCAUAAAAUCAGAAUGUUAUUUCUUAAAGCCUGGCUUUAUCAGUCAUAAAAAAUUGCUUCUUGGAUUGGUCACCUUUGAAAGCUAUCUUUGUACAUUUGUGGAAGUUCUGAAGAGAUUUCCCAAGUUAGAUUAAAAACCAGAGGAAGAGAACAUUGUGUGAUAAGAACUCAGCCCCAUGACUCUUUGUCUGUGGGGUUUUAUUUUUAAACUAACCAGAAAUACCAUAUUUAUUUAUUGCCAUAUACUUGAAUACCAAUUUCCAGCACCAUAGUUAAUUCCUUUUGAAAAUAUAUACACAAUUUAAGCAACUUGACAUUUUCACUCGCAGAUUUCUGACAUAGUAAGAAUUUGAAUGUUGCCGAAAACAUUCACUUUAAAGAUACUUUGGCUGCCAGGCAAAGGUGGUACAGACUUUUAAUCCCAGCGCUUGGGAGGCAGAGGCAGGCAGAUUUCUAUGAGUUCAAGGGCAGCCUGGUCUACAGAGUGAGUUUCAGGACAGCCAGGGCUACACAGAGAAACCCUGUCUUGAAAACACAACAACAACAAACAAAAACAAAAACAAAAAAACCAAAACUUAAAGAUCCUUGUGGCUGUCUGUACAAGAUGAAGCCAGCAUCAUUCUGUCCCUAAUGAGGAGGGGCUCAUGUGGUGGGCUCACCACACCCACCCUGAGGAGCUAUGACACUUAAUUGUUACUGGGUGGCAGGGAGCAUUUUCUUCCGUGAGGUUGCCACUGGUGUUUAUGCUUUAGGAAUAACACCCCACUAUCCUCACACAGACUACCAGAGUUAAAGUCAGUGGACAGUUUUCAGUCAGUACACCUUUACAGUGCAGAGGCCUGGGCUGGCCCUCAUGCGGAGAUGUCGGAUCACUGCUUACAAGGGAACUUUCUGCGUUCUGCACCUUCCAAAGGAGGAGGACACAAAGGAUCCAGUCAUUGAGGAGUGUGGCUUCAGAACUAAGGGAUUAGUAAGGCUUAGUUUCCAGAUCUCAGCCCAGCUAUGAAAUACUUGGAUU